GCAGUAGGAUAGGCGAAGCGUGCGAUUGGAUUGCACGUCUAAGCAGUAAGGCUGAGUAUUAGGCAAAUCCGGUACUCGUUAAGGCUGAGCUGUGAUGGGGAGAAGACAUUGAGUCUUCGAGUCGUUGAUUUCACACUGCCGAGAAAAGCCUCUAGAUAGAAAAUAGGUGCCCGUACCGCAAACCGACACAGGUAGUCAAGAUGAGAAUUCUAAGGUGAGCGAGCGAACUCUCGUUAAGGAACUCGGCAAAAUGACCCCGUAACUUCGGGAGAAGGGGUGCUCUUUAGGGUUAACGCCCAGAAGAGCCGCAGUGAAUAGGCCCAAGCGACUGUUUAUCAAAAACACAGGUCUCUGCUAAACCGUAAGGUGAUGUAUAGGGGCUGACGCCUGCCCGGUGCUGGAAGGUUAAGAGGAGUGGUUAGCUUCUGCGAAGCUACGAAUCGAAGCCCCAGUAAACGGCGGCCGUAACUAUAACGG
RNAcentral lists this ribosomal RNA (477 nucleotides) under Staphylococcus aureus. RNAcentral's name for it is "partial 23S ribosomal RNA". It matches the Rfam family "Bacterial large subunit ribosomal RNA", at positions 1474 to 1948 of the family's 2925-position model. The record is from RNAcentral. Lineage: Bacteria; Bacillati; Bacillota; Bacilli; Caryophanales; Staphylococcaceae.